GACGAACGCUGGCGGCGUGCUUAACACAUGCAAGUCGAACGGAAAGGCCCUGCUUUUGUGGGGUGCUCGAGUGGCGAACGGGUGAGUAACACGUGAGUAACCUGCCCUUGACUUUGGGAUAACUUCAGGAAACUGGGGCUAAUACCGGAUAGGAGCUCUUGCUGCAUGGUGGGGGUUGGAAAGUUUCGGCCGUUGGGGAUGGACUCGCGGCUUAUCAGCUUGUUGGUGGGGUAGUGGCUUACCAAGGCUUUGACGGGUAGCCGGCCUGAGAGGGUGACCGGCGACAUUGGGACUGAGGUACGGCGCAGACUCCUACGGGAGGCAGCAGUGGAGAAUAUUGCAGAAUGGGCGGGAGCCUGAUGCGGCGGCGCCGCGUGCGGGAUGCCGGCCUUCGGGGUGUAAACCGCUUUCGCCUGUGACGAAGCGGGAGUGACGGUAAUGGGUAAAGAAGCAACGGCUAACUACGUG
This 468-nucleotide ribosomal RNA is filed under the name uncultured bacterium. RNAcentral describes it as "partial 16S ribosomal RNA". It matches the Rfam family "Bacterial small subunit ribosomal RNA", at positions 28 to 507 of the family's 1533-position model. The record is from RNAcentral.